Molecule: ribosomal RNA, 465 nt
Filed under: Vreelandella stevensii
Lineage: Bacteria; Pseudomonadati; Pseudomonadota; Gammaproteobacteria; Oceanospirillales; Halomonadaceae
Description: partial 16S ribosomal RNA
Rfam family: Bacterial small subunit ribosomal RNA
Source: RNAcentral
CCUACGGGAGGCUGCAGUGGGGAAUAUUGGACAAUGGGGGGAACCCUGAUCCAGCCAUGCCGCGUGUGUGAAGAAGGCCCUCGGGUUGUAAAGCACUUUCAGUGAGGAAGAACGCCUGGUGGUGAAUACCCAUCAGGAAAGACAUCACUCACAGAAGAAGCACCGGCUAACUCCGUGCCAGCAGCCGCGGUAAUACGGAGGGUGCGAGCGUUAAUCGGAAUUACUGGGCGUAAAGCGCGCGUAGGUGGCUUGAUAAGCCGGUUGUGAAAGCCCCGGGCUCAACCUGGGAACGGCAUCCGGAACUGUCAAGCUAGAGUGCAGGAGAGGAAGGUAGAAUUCCCGGUGUAGCGGUGAAAUGCGUAGAGAUCGGGAGGAAUACCAGUGGCGAAGGCGGCCUUCUGGACUGACACUGACACUGAGGUGCGAAAGCGUGGGUAGCAAACAGGAUUAGAUACCCGUGUAGUC